CAAAAGAGAGAAAGAAAAGGCAACAGAAAAAAAAUAAUGUUGUUCCUUGUUAUUUAUUUCUUCUUCUUCUUCUCCUUUUU
Molecule: non-coding RNA, 80 nt
Filed under: Fragilariopsis kerguelensis
Lineage: Eukaryota; Bacillariophyta; Bacillariophyceae; Bacillariales; Bacillariaceae
Source: RNAcentral